This 99-nucleotide small nuclear RNA is filed under the name Chlorocebus sabaeus (green monkey). The record is from RNAcentral. Lineage: Eukaryota; Metazoa; Chordata; Mammalia; Primates; Cercopithecidae.
GUGCCCAUUUUGGCAGCACACAUACUAAAAUUGGAAAGAUACAGAGAAGAUUAGCAUGCCCCUGUGCAAGGAUGACAAGCAAAAGUGAGAAAUUAUUUU